AGCAGUGGGGAAUAUUGCACAAUGGGCGAAAGCCUGAUGCAGCGACGCCGCGUGAGGGAUGACGGCCUUCGGGUUGUAAACCUCUUUCAGCAGGGAAGAAGCGAAAGUGACGGUACCUGCAGAAGAAGCGCCGGCUAACUACGUGCCAGCAGCCGCGGUAAUACGUAGGGCGCAAGCGUUGUCCGGAAUUAUUGGGCGUAAAGAGCUCGUAGGCGGCUUGUCACGUCGGAUGUGAAAGCCCGGGGCUUAACCCCGGGUCUGCAUUCGAUACGGGCAGGCUAGAGUGUGGUAGGGGAGAUCGGAAUUCCUGGUGUAGCGGUGAAAUGCGCAGAUAUCAGGAGGAACACCGGUGGCGAAGGCGGAUCUCUGGGCCAUUACUGACGCUGAGGAGCGAAAGCGUGGGGAGCGAACAGGAUUAGAUACCCUGGUAGUCCACGCCGUAAACGUUGGGAACUAGGUGUUGGCGACAUUCCACGUCGUCGGUGCCGCAGCUAACGCAUUAAGU
Molecule: ribosomal RNA, 505 nt
Filed under: Streptomyces chryseus
Lineage: Bacteria; Bacillati; Actinomycetota; Actinomycetes; Kitasatosporales; Streptomycetaceae
Description: bacterial SSU rRNA
Rfam family: Bacterial small subunit ribosomal RNA
Source: RNAcentral